RNAcentral lists this ribosomal RNA (949 nucleotides) under uncultured Burkholderiales bacterium. Its description in RNAcentral is "bacterial SSU rRNA". It matches the Rfam family "Bacterial small subunit ribosomal RNA", at positions 57 to 1002 of the family's 1533-position model. Lineage: Bacteria; Pseudomonadati; Pseudomonadota; Betaproteobacteria; Burkholderiales. The record is from RNAcentral.
GCAGUCGAACGGCAGCACGGGUGCUUGCACCUGGUGGCGAGUGGCGAACGGGUGAGUAAUAUAUCGGAACGUGCCCUAGAGUGGGGGAUAACGUAGCGAAAGUUACGCUAAUACCGCAUACGAUCUAUGGAUGAAAGUGGGGGAUCGCAAGACCUCAUGCUCCUGGAGCGGCCGAUAUCUGAUUAGCUAGUUGGUGGGGUAAUAGCCCACCAAGGCGACGAUCAGUAGCUGGUCUGAGAGGACGACCAGCCACACUGGGACUGAGACACGGCCCAGACUCCUACGGGAGGCAGCAGUGGGGAAUUUUGGACAAUGGGGGAAACCCUGAUCCAGCAAUGCCGCGUGUGUGAAGAAGGCCUUCGGGUUGUAAAGCACUUUUGUCAGGAACGAAACGGUGGGGGCUAAUAUCCUCUGCUAAUGACGGUACCUGAAGAAUAAGCACCGGCUAACUACGUGCCAGCAGCCGCGGUAAUACGUAGGGUGCAAGCGUUAAUCGGAAUUACUGGGCGUAAAGCGUGCGCAGGCGGUUGUGCAAGACAGAUGUGAAAUCCCCGGGCUUAACCUGGGAAUUGCAUUUGUGACUGCACGGCUAGAGUGUGUCAGAGGGGGGUAGAAUUCCACGUGUAGCAGUGAAAUGCGUAGAUAUGUGGAGGAAUACCGAUGGCGAAGGCAGCCCCCUGGGAUAACACUGACGCUCAUGCACGAAAGCGUGGGGAGCAAACAGGAUUAGAUACCCUGGUAGUCCACGCCCUAAACGAUGUCUACUAGUUGUCGGGUCUUAAUUGACUUGGUAACGCAGCUAACGCGUGAAGUAGACCGCCUGGGGAGUACGGUCGCAAGAUUAAAACUCAAAGGAAUUGACGGGGACCCGCACAAGCGGUGGAUGAUGUGGAUUAAUUCGAUGCAUCGCGAAAAACUUACCUACCCUUGACAUGUACGGAACCUGCUG